AACUCUGUUGUUUUGUUGGAAAUCCCCCUGGUUUUAAUGUUGAAGAAGUUUGGAAGAACCAUACUUUUACAUUAAAACUGGGUAGGUAGUUACAACCGGCGUACUACUGAUAACAGGUCGUGUGAGAUCAAUAUAUAUGUAUAUAUAUAUAUAGCUGCAAUAGGCUGCGCCAGUCUAUGGGGAUAUGAUGUCCAUGGCCUCAGAUAGCUUAGCACACCAACCUAGCUUGAACGCUAUCUCAACCUGCAUUCACUUAAUGUCAGUGUGUUAACCUAACUGUGGAAUGAGGGGGAGGGGAACAAAAAGGGAUUUAUCUUUUGUUUACACUGGGGCUAAGUAAUUAGCGUAGCAUUCAGCCUUUCGCUGCAUCAAACUUUUGUUUUAGCUUGUUGCAGCAUUAGCUUUAUCACGGCUGCCUGUUUCCUGCUGGUUUUAUACGUUUCCCUGCUUGAACACUGCAGAUUUGAUUGAAUCGACUGAUAAGCAGAACCCGAUGAAGGCUGAUGAGAUAAUUCACCAGUUACAAUCAGGCGUGCCUGAGCAGGAACAUACUGAAAACAUUUUCAGUGCUACAAGGCUGUAGUGUGCGUGCACGGUAUGAGGCGUAGCUUUCAGCUCCUUCCAAAAGGGGAGCGAACCAAACUCCUCCUCCUCUCCUUGGUGUUGUCACACUAUGGACUGCAGCUUUAAUAAACAUUUUCUGUAAUGGACUAAAACUUAAAAACACAGCUUUAAAAUGAUUUUGCAACAAUAAUAAAUGCUGUUUUUUUCUCACUGGUGGUUCUUGUGGGAUUCUUCAUUGUAUUAAAAAAAUAUAUAACAACACAACACCAUCAAAAGAGCACCAAGACUGACACUGUUGUUUCUUGUCUUGUCUGCAGAGAAGCCAAUGGCGCAGGGUCCCCCGGGUGGUGUUGUCGGGAUCCUUGGAGGUGUUGUUGCAAUUGGACUCAUCAUCGGCGUGGCUGUUACUGUUUUCAUGGUCCAUCGGCGGCAGCAGAAGACUCGCACAGAGACAGAUAAUGACCUGACUGACCUCCCACCCGCCCAUAAGCCAGCCCCGCCCCCUCCCAAAAAGAAGAACAGUGACAUGAAGGGUCACCUGGCAUCUGAUGACAUCCAGGUGGUUCAUAUCGACAAGGAUGAGGAGAUUCAGAAGCUUCCUCUUCAGCCCCCUUAUUACGACAUGGCACCCUCCGAGUCGACCCCCUUCACUGAUAAACCGGUGAGUAACACGAUCGGGUCACAGGCUCGUCUCUGUGAGAGGGCCUUCACAGCUGCAAUGUUCGGUCAGGUGUAAUUGCUGGUGAAAGCUUUUGUUACUGCAGGUGCUUGAGAAUGGGGCUUCACAAAGCUGCCGUGACGUCCGAGAGGCUCUUUAGUUUUUGCUUGCCUGGUGUUGGCUUGUGAAUCCACAGGGUGCUUUCGGCUGUGCUUCUUACGUCACCAUUUACGUCAGCGCUUCCUAUCUGUAGUGUAAACCAUGGCUGAUCAGCAUUCUCUCUGUCUGUUGCCCUGACCCCUAUUGCCCACCAUUCCUGCUCCCCCCCCCCCCCCCCAUUCCAUGUUAUCUGCUAGAACUACAUGAUGGUCAAACGAACAUCACCAUUUCUGGAAGUUACCAUUUGUUUAUGAAGUGUUUGUCUUGUUGCCUUUGCUGUCUUUAGCUGUGGUCACGCCUCCCGCAGCUGCAUGGGCUGAAACUGUUAAGUGGUCAAUUGCUUUGGCUGGAGUGCUUUUAGGCGAAAAUGCAUGUCUUGUGUGUGUAUGUUGCAGUGUAAACCAGCAGGAACGUCUUCAACCACGUUGCAGGUUAAUGGGAGCACCUUCUGCUUACGUAAUCUAGCAAUAGCUGUUUUCAUUGAAUUGGUGUUUCUCCUUGCAAUGCUAACAAAGAUAGGAGGUGCCAUGCAACAAACAUCUGCUGCUCUAACAAAGUUCAUGAUUUAUCUAUGCAGAAAGUGAUUUAGGGUUUCCUAGAAUAUCCUAUUUUUGUUUAGUACAUGUGUAGUUUAAAGCCGGUUAACGAUUUAUAAUUAGGAGGUGAUUUCAAAGAGUCAAGUAGUCUCUUUUUAUAUUAUUUUCCACAUGUACAAAAAAGAAGAUUUCAUAAUUGGAUUAGGUGAGAUUUUUCCUGGAACUACAGAUGAUAAAAAGGUUAGACUUCAUCCAGCAGGCAAGUGUGAAGACACAUAACAGUCUCAUAUUUAGACUGUUGGGUCAAAAUCUCUAAAUAUGAGUGUACACAUUUGUCAGUGAAAAUUUCACACACACACACACACACACACACACACACCCACACACA
Long non-coding RNA from Nothobranchius furzeri (turquoise killifish), 2305 nucleotides. The record is from Ensembl. Lineage: Eukaryota; Metazoa; Chordata; Actinopteri; Cyprinodontiformes; Nothobranchiidae.